Molecule: ribosomal RNA, 253 nt
Filed under: uncultured bacterium
Lineage: Bacteria
Description: partial 16S ribosomal RNA
Rfam family: Bacterial small subunit ribosomal RNA
Source: RNAcentral
UACGUAGGGUGCUAGCGUUGUCCGGAAUCAUUGGGCGUAAAGCGCGUGUAGGCGGUUCGGUAAGUCCGCUGUGAAAGUCGGGGGCUCAACCCUCGAAAGCCGGUGGAUACUGUCGGGCUAGAGUACGGAAGAGGCGAGUGGAAUUCCUGGUGUAGCGGUGAAAUGCGCAGAUAUCAGGAGGAACACCAAUGGCGAAGGCAGCUCGCUGGGACGUUACUGACGCUGAGACGCGAAAGCGUGGGGAGCAAACAGG